Molecule: long non-coding RNA, 4093 nt
Filed under: Sus scrofa (pig)
Lineage: Eukaryota; Metazoa; Chordata; Mammalia; Artiodactyla; Suidae
Description: lncRNA (ENSSSCG00060049865.1)
Source: RNAcentral
AGAACAUUUAAGAUCUACUCUCUUAGCAAUUUUCAACUAUAUAUUACACUAAUAUUAACUAUAAUUACUAUGCUGUUCUGGGGCCAGAACCCAUUCAUCUAAAAAUUGUAAGUUUGAAUUCUUUGACAAACAUCUCCCCACUUCCUGCACUCUCUAAGCAUUGAUAACAACUAUUCUAGUCUUUAUUUAUUUCAUAUUCCUAAAACAUCUAAACCAACAUAAAUAGUGUCAAUAUUUAUGUCUAUAUUGACAUAAUGCAUUUAUUAAUUAUGUAUCCAUUUAUUAAGUAUGUCUGUCAAACCAGAAACUAGGAAAAUAUUUUCUGGGCAUAGUAUAGAUAAAGGAAUUGUAUAUUGUUGUACACAGUUCUCAUUUAUAUUUAGAAAACAUAUUACUUAAAAGAUAAAUGGACUAAAAAAAUUGACCAAAAUAAAAGCAGCAUAAUUAUCUACCUAACCAGUUAACAAAUAUUUACUAAAUGCAUGCUAUAUGAAAGCACUUUUCUAAAUCUGCAGAAAUAGCAGUAUACAGAGACAAAAAGUGUUGCCCUUAUACAGGAGGGAUGGCCAUUAAAUAAGACUAACAGGUGUGACCUAAUGUGUUCGGAGUAACUGCCAUGGAGAAAAAUUACUUAGGAAGUGAUGAUAGAAAAUGUGGAAGUGGUUAUAGAUUCCAGUGAACAGAUCAAUGAUUAGAGAGUGACAAGGUGAUCUAAAAUUUAAGCCUUACUUUUAACAGUUAUUUUUAAGUAAAAUGAUACAGAAAAAAAAAAAAAAAACCCUAACACUUCUAGUGUCAAUUAAUCCACUCUAAAGGGGGCAAAAGUAUACAAUGAGGAAGAGUCUCUUCAUAAAACGUGCUGGGAAACCUGGACAGCUUUGUGCAAAAGAAUGUAACCGGACCACUUUCUUAUGCCAUAUAAAAAAAAAAUAAACUCAAAAUGGAUUAAAGGCUUAAAUAAGAUCUGAAACCAUACAUUUACUAGAAGAAAACACAAACAGUAUGCUCUAUUCUUUGACAUCAGUCCCAGCAGUAUUUUUUUGGAUCUGUCUUUAGACAAAUGCAACAAAAGCAAAAAUUUAAAAAUGGGACUAUAACAAACUAAAACUAAGCUUUUGCAUGGCUAUGGUAACCAUGAACAAAAUGAAAAGUCAGCCUAACUGAAUUGGAGAAGAUAUUUAUAAACAAUUUUUCUGAGUAGAGAUUGCCCUCUAAAAUAUAUAAAUUACUCAUAACAAACAACUCAAUUAAAAAUAGACAGAGGGACCUGAAUAGAUAUUUUUCUGAAGAAGACAGAGAUGGCCAACAGAUACACGAAAGGAUGCUUAACGACAUUAACCAUCAGGAAAAUGCACAUCAAAAUCACAAGGAGACACCACUUCAUAAUUUUCAGAAUGGCUAUUAUCAAAAACACAAGAAAAAACAAGUUGUGAGAAUGUGGAGAAAAGGGAAACUUUUUGUUUGUUUUUGUUUUUUUAGGGCUACAUCCAUGGCAUAUGGAAGUUCCUAGGCUAGGGGUCGAACCCGUGAGUGAGGCCAGAGAUCAAACCCGUGUCCUCAUGGAUUCUAGUUGGGUUUGUUUCUGCUAAGCCACAGCAGGAACUCCGUGAGCGAGGCCAGGGAUCGAGGCCAGGGAUCAAACCCAUGUCCUCAUGGAUACUAGUUGGGUUUGUUUCUGCUAAGCCACAGCAGGAACUCCGAAGGGAAACUUCUUGCACUGUUAAUGGAAAUGUAAAUUGGUGCAGAUACUAUGGACAGUAUGGAGGUUCCUCAAUAUAUUAAAAAGAGAACUCCAGGGAGUUCCUGUUGUGGCUCAGCAGGUUAUGAACCCAACUGGUAUCCACAAGGGUGUGGGUUCUAUUCCAUCCAUGGCCUUGCUCAGUGGGUUAAGGAUCUGGCAUUGCCAUGAACUGUGGUGUAGGUCACAGAUGUGGCUAGGAUCUAGCAUUGCUGUGGCUGUCGCGUAGGCCGGCAUCUGUAGCUCUAAUCUGACCCCUAGCCUGGGACCUUCCAUAUGUUACAGAUGCAGCUCUAAAGCAAAAAAAAAACAAAAAAACAAAAACAAAAACAAAAAACACUAUGUGAUCCAGCUAUUCCACUCCUGGGGCUUACCCAAAGAAAACAAAAACACUAAUUAGAAGACAUAUAGACAUCCAUAUUUUUACUGCAGCAUUACCUACCAAAACCAAGAUAUAGAAGCAACCUGUUGCCUUUGAUAGAUGAAUGGAUAAAGACACAUUCACACUCACACACUGAGAUAUUCUCAGUUAUACAAUAUUAAAAAAAAUGAAACCUUGCCAUUUAUGACAACUGGAUGGACAUGAAAAAGAUUAAAAGGUACAAACUUACAGCUAUAAAAUAAAUAAAUCAAGGGUAGCAACAUACAGCAUAUGGCAUAUUUUGAAUAAUAUUGUAAGCACUGCAUGAUAACCAAUGUUACCUAGAUUUAAUAUGGUAAUCACAUUGUAAUGCAUAAAAAUACUUAAUUACUGUUGAUACCUAAAACUAAUAUAAUAUUGUAUGACAAAUAUAAUACAAUAAAAAGUAAUAAUACAUAUGUGCUGUGAAAACAGAGAAGGCAGUGAGUAUCAUUCAUGGAAAGAUAUAAUAUUAUAAUGCUUUUAGAAAGCAGAGUGCUAUACUUAUCAGAAUUCUUAGGAAUGUUCAUAACAUUUCUUCCUGGAAUUCCAAUUCUGGAAAGUUGUUUGGAGGAAAAAGUAUAGAAAUGGCUCUUAGGAACUGCAAUGCUCAGCACAAUUUAAUGUUAGCUGUCAGAAAUUGGAAAUAAAUCUGGAAAUCUGCAUUCCAUAAAUAGAGGCUAUUUAAUACAGAACAUUAAUGGAAUAAUUAUGCCAUAAUAUUAAUAAUUAUGUGUAUUUUGUGAUCAUUAAAAAUUAUGGUGUCAAAUUCUAUAAAUAUAUUGAAAAUAUAAACAAUACAAUGUUAAUUGAAGAAUAUCAGAGUAUUAUAGCAUAUAUUAAAUUUUCUUAAAUUGUCUUUCUUACAUGCAAACAUUUAUGGAUGAAAACUACAUCAUGACAUAUAUGAAAAUAAUAUGAUUUAAGAUAUAAUUUUAAUUCAGAAUUAUAAAAUUUUAGAGUGAAUCAGUCACACCAACAUGAACCUCUCAAACAAUAGAGAAAACACUAUAUUAUGACUACAUAAUCUAAUAUCAGACGAUUGGUCCCCAUUAAGAUACACUUUUGUAUAGAUUUCAUCUUCUGCAAGAAUCAGAGCUCAUUUGGCUAUAUUAUGAGUUCCAGAUAGACAAGGUUGCUUAGCUUAUUGGUCUAAAAAAUAGGAGUUUUCCACCUAAAAAAUUUUUGAUACUAAUAACUCCUUUCAGGGAUACUAUGAGCCUUCUACUGUCCCAGGCUCACGGUACCACCACACUUAAGUGAAAUAGCCAUCCCUUUUCCAUCUCUUUGUUUUAGCUCCUGGCUUAAAUUUUACUUAUUCAGUACUAAAAAUUAAUUAGUAUUAAUAAGCACACUAAUAACUGCAGUGAAAACACAUCAGAAAAGGAAUAUACUUGAGAGAUUACUAGUAAAAGUAUUUUAACAUGCAAUAGUCCCUCUCCACCCCAAACCACAGAGCGAAUAUUUUUAUUUCUCUUUUCCAAAUUAGGCCACUGGAGUUCAGGAAGACCAAAUAUAACUUGCCACAGCAACACAACUAUAAAAUUAGCUGAGCCGGGAUUUGCCUUUGAGCCUGAAAGAAGCCAAAACUAGGGUUUUGUGGGUUUUUCCUCAUUUUUCCACAUCACCAUAGUCUUCCUAAGAUGCUUCAGAUGGAACAAACCUCUCCUUUUGCUAUUUCUCAACUAUGUUUUGAACGUGCAUACAGCAAUGAGUUUACAGACUACGUUAUGCCACAGAUGGCACAGAUGCUCAUAAUGCUCAUUCAUUAUGCCUUUCAUGCUCAUACUGCCUUUCAUGUCACACUCACAAACAUAUUCGCAAUCUACCCACAGAGGAAAUUAUCUGCUCAAUACCCACCGAACUGCUAGAAAGAGAAUCACUAUUUAAUCUAUCACUAGUAAGCCUUUAUUAACAUUUCUAAUCCCAGUGCUAAAGGUAACAUGGCAUGAAAU